RNAcentral lists this long non-coding RNA (970 nucleotides) under Salmo salar (Atlantic salmon). Its description in RNAcentral is "lncRNA (ENSSSAG00000109102.1)". Lineage: Eukaryota; Metazoa; Chordata; Actinopteri; Salmoniformes; Salmonidae. The record is from RNAcentral.
UAUGACCCCUGUGUUAUUGCUGUACCAGUCCACCACUCUAGGUCUAUGACCCCUGUGUUAUUGUCGUACCAAUCCACCACUCUAGGUCUAUGACCCCUGUGUUAUUGUCGUACCAAUCCACCAGGUCUAUGACCCCUGUGUUAUUGCUGUACCAAUCCACCAGGUCUAUGACCCCUGUGUUAUUGCUGUACCAGUCCACCAGGUCUAUGACCCCUGUGUUAUUGCUGUACCAGUCCACCAGGUCUAUGACCCCUGUGUUAUUGCUGUACCAAUCCACCAGGUCUAUGACCCAGCCCUUUAUAAUGGUAGAAAGGCUCCACUUUCUUCAGAUGGGAAUCUGUUUUUUUCAACCUGACCAAAUUCACAUAGAAAUGUGAGUUAUAGAUCAGUCAUUCUCAUCGAAAGCCAGUCUUAAGAAGCGGUAGAUCUGUUCUUAUUUCUAUGCUUCCCGUUCUUUUUAUGUUUUGUUUUUUUGCGUCUUUUACUUUCGGUUUUGUACACCAACUUCAAACAGCUGAAAAUACAAUAUUUUUGGGGGUUUAUUGAAGAGAUAUUCCACAGCAGUUUAGAUGGUACAAGGAUUCUCUACUCUAUACUGUCACGUCCUGACCAGUAAUAGGGGUUAUUUGCUAUUGUAGUUUGGUCAGGACGUGGCAGAAGGGUAUUUGUUUUAUGUGGUUCGGGGUGGUGGUUUGUUUAGUAGGGUAUUUGAUUUAUGUAAACCCGGGGGUGUUUUUGGGCACUGUUCUAUGUUAGUGUAUUUCUAUGUUCUGUCUAGUCUUUUGUAUUUCUAAUGUUUUGUUAAUUGGGGUGUUGGACUCUCAAUUGGAGGCAGGUUGUUUUCUAGUUGCCUCCGAUUGAGAGUCCUAUAUAUAUAUGUGUGUGUUUGUUGAGUGCUUGGUGGGAGAUUGUUCUGUGUAUAGCCUUGUGCCUUACCAACCUGUGAAUAGUCGUUGUGGUUUCUUUGUGU